Molecule: ribosomal RNA, 485 nt
Filed under: uncultured bacterium
Lineage: Bacteria
Description: partial 16S ribosomal RNA
Rfam family: Bacterial small subunit ribosomal RNA
Source: RNAcentral
UGGGGAAUAUUGCACAAUGGGCGCAAGCCUGAUGCAGCCAUGCCGCGUGUGUGAAGAAGGCCUUCGGGUUGUAAAGCACUUUCAGCGAGGAGGAAGGUGGUGAGCUUAAUACGCUCAUCAAUUGACGUUACUCGCAGAAGGAGCACCGGCUAACUCCGUGCCAGCAGCCGCGGUAAUACGGAGGGUGCAAGCGUUAAUCGGAAUUACUGGGCGUAAAGCGCACGCAGGCGGUUUGUUAAGUCAGAUGUGAAAUCCCCGGGCUCAACCUGGGAACUGCAUUUGAAACUGGCAAGCUAGAGUCUCGUAGAGGGGGGUAGAAUUCCAGGUGUAGCGGUGAAAUGCGUAGAGAUCUGGAGGAAUACCGGUGGCGAAGGCGGCCCCCUGGACGAAGACUGACGCUCAGGUGCGAAAAGCGUGGGGAGCAAAACAGGAUUAGAUACCCUGGUAGUCCACGCUGUAAAACGAUGUCGAUUUUGGAGGUUGUG